GUAGGAUAGAGGCCUACCAUGGUGGUAACGGGUAACGGGGUGUUAGGGCACGACACCGGAGAGGGAGCCUGAGAAACGGCUACCACAUCCAAGGAUGGCAGCAGGCGCGCAAAUUACCAAAUCCCGACACGGGGAGGUAGUGACAAUAAAUAACAAUACGGGGUUCUUUCGGAUUUCGUAAUUGGAAUGAGUACAAUUUAAAUCUCUUAACGAGGAACAAUUGGAAGGCAAGUCUGGUGCCAGCAGCCGCGGUAAUUCCAGCUCCAAUAGCGUAUAUUAAAGUUGCUGCAGUUAAAAAGCUCGUAGUUGAAUUUCGGGACCAAUAUGUCGGUCGUGCCUCGGUACGUACUGGCAUCGUUGGUUUCUCCCUUCUGACGAACCAUGAUGUCAUUCAUUUGGUGUCGUGGGGAAUCAGGACUGUUACUUUGAAAAAAUUAGAGUGUUUAAAGCAGGCUCACGCUUGAAUACAUUAGCAUGGAAUAAUGAAAUAGGACGUUUGAUUCUAUUUUGUUGGUUUCUAGGAUCGACGUAAUGAUUAAUAGGGAUAGUUGGGGGCAUUAGAAUUCAAUUGUCAGAGGUGAAAUUCUUGGAUUUAUUGAAGACUAACUACUGCGAAAGCAUUUGCCAAGGAUGUUUUCAUUAAUCAAGAACGAAAGUUAGGGGAUCGAAGACGAUCAGAUACCGUCGUAGUCUUAACCAUAAACUAUGCCGACUAGGGAUCGGAUGAUGUUAAUUUUUUAAUGACUCAUUCGGCGCCUUACGGGAAACCAAAGUGUUUGGGUUC
This 784-nucleotide ribosomal RNA is filed under the name uncultured Glomus. RNAcentral describes it as "SSU rRNA". It matches the Rfam family "Eukaryotic small subunit ribosomal RNA", at positions 328 to 1114 of the family's 1831-position model. The record is from RNAcentral. Lineage: Eukaryota; Fungi; Glomeromycota; Glomeromycetes; Glomerales; Glomeraceae.